UGUGAGCACAACUGACUGGGA
RNAcentral lists this unclassified non-coding RNA (21 nucleotides) under Mus musculus (house mouse). Its description in RNAcentral is "oocyte_clustered_small_RNA1400". The record is from RNAcentral. Lineage: Eukaryota; Metazoa; Chordata; Mammalia; Rodentia; Muridae.